AAUUUGUGGGCCCUGAUAGCGAUGACGAGUAUUUGGAUGCUGAUUAUAAUUUGGAUGAGCUCUUCUCCUACCUUGUCCGCAUACCUGGCCUGAAGGAGGUGAAAAUGCAGCUGGAAAGAUGUCUCAAUAACAGCUGGGAAUCUGACGUCCUCUCCUUAGUCAACCGCCAUCCCACUCUACAGAGAAUACGGUUGAAGUUCAAAUAUAUUGAUGAACAUAUGAUGGAGCAAAUAAAGGAAAUAAAAAUAAAGCGUCCAGACUGCACUGUGAUCAUCAAAGGGGUGCGAAGGGUGGGCCAUUCAAUCCAGGAGGCAGUCUUCGAUGAGACCUACAUAUUUCGAAAGAACUUCGUUAGUUGUCAUGUUGUCAUGAAAGAGCUUCCCUC
Engraulis encrasicolus (European anchovy) is the source of this 385-nucleotide long non-coding RNA. RefSeq lists it as uncharacterized. The transcript is spliced from 3 exons. The record is from RefSeq and is a predicted model, not a curated record. NCBI's taxonomy places the organism in Eukaryota, Metazoa, Chordata, Actinopteri, Clupeiformes, Engraulidae.